This 247-nucleotide ribosomal RNA is filed under the name uncultured Actinomycetes bacterium. Its description in RNAcentral is "uncultured actinobacterium partial 16S ribosomal RNA". It matches the Rfam family "Bacterial small subunit ribosomal RNA", at positions 28 to 276 of the family's 1533-position model. Lineage: Bacteria; Bacillati; Actinomycetota; Actinomycetes. The record is from RNAcentral.
GACGAACGCUGGCGGCGUGCUUAACACAUGCAAGUCGAGCGGUAAGGCCCUUUCGGGGGUACACGAGCGGCGAACGGGUGAGUAACACGUGGGUGACCUGCCCUCAGCUCUGGGAUAAGCCUGGGAAACUGGGUCUAAUACCGGAUAUGACUCCAUGACGCAUGUUGUGGGGUGGAAAGCCUUGUGCGGCUGGGGAUGGGCCCGCGGCCUAUCAGCUUGUUGGUGGGGUGAUGGCCUACCAAGGCGA